UAACAUAACAGAUUCAGGUAAGUACAGA
This 28-nucleotide non-coding RNA is filed under the name Bombyx mori (domestic silkworm). The record is from RNAcentral. Lineage: Eukaryota; Metazoa; Arthropoda; Insecta; Lepidoptera; Bombycidae.